UACGAAGGGGGCUAGCGUUGCUCGGAAUUACUGGGCGUAAAGGGCGCGUAGGCGGACAGUUUAGUCAGAGGUGAAAGCCCGGAGCUUAACUCCGGAACUGCCUUUAAGACUGCAUCGCUAGAAUCGUGGAGAGGUGAGUGGAAUUCCGAGUGUAGAGGUGAAAUUCGUAGAUAUUCGGAAGAACACCAGUGGCGAAGGCGACUCACUGGACACGUAUUGACGCUGAGGUGCGAAAGCGUGGGGAGCAAACAGG
Molecule: ribosomal RNA, 253 nt
Filed under: uncultured bacterium
Lineage: Bacteria
Description: partial 16S ribosomal RNA
Rfam family: Bacterial small subunit ribosomal RNA
Source: RNAcentral